RNAcentral lists this small nuclear RNA (105 nucleotides) under Salvator merianae (Argentine black and white tegu). The record is from RNAcentral. Lineage: Eukaryota; Metazoa; Chordata; Lepidosauria; Squamata; Teiidae.
UCAGAAGCACAUAUUGGAAGCACUAAAAUUGGAAUGAUAUAGAGAAGAUUAGCAUGGCCCCUGCACAAAGAUGACAGACAAAUUUGUGAAGCAUUCUCUAUUUAA